UACAGAGGGGGCAAGCGUUGUUCGGAAUUACUGGGCGUAAAGGGCGCGUAGGCGGCAUGGCAAGUCAGGAGUGAAAGGCCUGGGCUCAACCGAGGAACUGCUUUUGAUACUGCCAAGCUAGAGUGCGGAAGGGGCAACUGGAAUUCCCAGUGUAGCGGUGAAAUGCGUAGAUAUUGGGAAGAACACCAGAGGCGAAGGCGGGUUGCUGGGCCGACACUGACGCUGAGGCGCGAAAGCCAGGGGAGCAAACGGG
This 253-nucleotide ribosomal RNA is filed under the name uncultured bacterium. Its description in RNAcentral is "partial 16S ribosomal RNA". It matches the Rfam family "Bacterial small subunit ribosomal RNA", at positions 524 to 776 of the family's 1533-position model. The record is from RNAcentral.